AUGGUUCGAAUUAGAAUUCCACCAUCAAGGGUUCGUGGCCAGCAUGUCCUACUACUUUGGCAAAUGAUGCAGGAGCUUGGGGCACCAUGUCCACAAUUCUUUGAAGAGAUGCCAGAUGAUGGAACACACUCCUACAGACGUGUAGUUGUGGUGCUCAGCGGUGUUCCAUCAGACAUGGACUUCUAUGUGGAGCUCUUCGCAAUGCAGCGGUCAUCCAAUGACACUCUACCCACGCGGGAGGUUGCCAAGGAAGCUAUGCAUGGACUGCAAGCAUGUUUUGGAGAGAAAUUGCGCACCACUGGAUACCGUGACUUGCCAACACUUGAUUCUAGAAUUUUUGGGCAAAACCAUCAGCAAGGACCUAGAGUAGCAAGCCUGGGUGUUGGGUCUUCAUCAGCUCAACCUACACAUGCCGCUUCAACAGUUAGCACCACUUCUAGUAUGACAAUGAUUGCUGACACGAGGAUGUAUCAUACAAUGAAGGAGGAGCUUAUUAGACACCAGGAAGCAACCCAAUUCUGGUAUCAAUGCUAUCAGAUGAGCGAAUAUGAUAGGAUUAUGCUUCAGGGAUCACUAAAUGCUAUGCCUGGAGGUCCUCUUAAUCCUAUAGUAGUACCAUGUGAUGUUUAA
This 630-nucleotide ribosomal RNA is filed under the name Triticum aestivum (bread wheat). RNAcentral's name for it is "partial small subunit ribosomal RNA". Lineage: Eukaryota; Viridiplantae; Streptophyta; Magnoliopsida; Poales; Poaceae. The record is from RNAcentral.